RNAcentral lists this ribosomal RNA (253 nucleotides) under Dorea longicatena. RNAcentral describes it as "partial 16S ribosomal RNA". It matches the Rfam family "Bacterial small subunit ribosomal RNA", at positions 524 to 776 of the family's 1533-position model. Lineage: Bacteria; Bacillati; Bacillota; Clostridia; Lachnospirales; Lachnospiraceae. The record is from RNAcentral.
UACGUAGGGGGCAAGCGUUAUCCGGAUUUACUGGGUGUAAAGGGAGCGUAGACGGCACGGCAAGCCAGAUGUGAAAGCCCGGGGCUCAACCCUGGGACUGCAUUUGGAACUGCUGAGCUAGAGUGUCGGAGAGGCAAGUGGAAUUCCUAGUGUAGCGGUGAAAUGCGUAGAUAUUAGGAGGAACACCAGUGGCGAAGGCGGCUUGCUGGACGAUGACUGACGUUGAGGCUCGAAAGCGUGGGGAGCAAACAGG